GGUGAACGCUGGCGGUAGGCCUAACACAUGCAAGUCGAACGGCAGCACAGUAAGAGCUUGCUCUUACGGGUGGCGAGUGGCGGACGGGUGAGGAAUACAUCGGAAUCUACUUUUUCGUGGGGGAUAACGUAGGGAAACUUACGCUAAUACCGCAUACGACCUACGGGUGAAAGCAGGGGAUCUUCGGACCUUGCGCGAUUGAAUGAGCCGAUGUCGGAUUAGCUAGUUGGCGGGGUAAAGGCCCACCAAGGCGACGAUCCGUAGCUGGUCUGAGAGGAUGAUCAGCCACACUGGAACUGAGACGCGGUCCAGACUCCUACGGGAGGCAGCAGUGGGGAAUAUUGGACAAUGGGCGCAAGCCUGAUCCAGCCAUACCGCGUGGGUGAAGAAGGCCUUCGGGUUGUAAAGCCCUUUUGUUGGGAAAGAAAAGCAGCAGGUUAAUACCCCGCUGUUCUGACGGUACCCAAAGAAUAAGCACCGGCUAACUUCGUG
Molecule: ribosomal RNA, 492 nt
Filed under: uncultured bacterium
Lineage: Bacteria
Description: partial 16S ribosomal RNA
Rfam family: Bacterial small subunit ribosomal RNA
Source: RNAcentral